AUUGUAAGAUGUGUCUCUCUUUGUUGCAGUUGUGUCACUGGUGUUUGCUGGAGAACAGAAAUCUCCUACUGCCUCUUCUAUAGAGAGAGAAGCUUUCUGUGACCUGGAGUGAGCAGCCAGAAAUUUGUGACCUCUUCAAUCAUCGGAUCCCUAAAAGAUGGAUAUAUAGCAUGACCUCCCAAGUAAUCUACUGAUGUUAUUAGUUCAAGGGCUCUACAAUCCAUUGCAAGUGUUGCAAAUCCUUAAAACAUAAAGAACUGAUUCUUUCCACUUCACCCAUUGGAGUCAACCCAUGACCUGCGGCCGGUCUAGGGGUGUGGCGAAGACUUCACGAAUAAACUCUGGGGAGGUCCGACCUCGCCUCUU
Larimichthys crocea (large yellow croaker) is the source of this 366-nucleotide long non-coding RNA. RefSeq lists it as uncharacterized. NCBI's taxonomy places the organism in Eukaryota, Metazoa, Chordata, Actinopteri, Sciaenidae. The transcript has 4 exons. The record is from RefSeq and is a predicted model, not a curated record.